Molecule: ribosomal RNA, 468 nt
Filed under: uncultured bacterium
Lineage: Bacteria
Description: partial 16S ribosomal RNA
Rfam family: Bacterial small subunit ribosomal RNA
Source: RNAcentral
GACGAACGCUGGCGGCGUGCUUAACACAUGCAAGUCGAACGGAAAGGCCCUGCUUUUGUGGGGUGCUCGAGUGGCGAACGGGUGAGUAACACGUGAGUAACCUGCCCUUGACUUUGGGAUAACUUCAGGAAACUGGGGCUAAUACCGGAUAGGAGCUCCUGCUGCAUGGUGGGGGUUGGAAAGUUUCGGCGGUUGGGGAUGGACUCGCGGCUUAUCAGCUUGUUGGUGGGGUAGUGGCUUACCAAGGGUUUGACGGGUAGCCGGCCUGAGAGGGUGACCGGCCACAUGGGGACUGAGAUACGGCCCAGACUCCUACGGGAGGCAGCAGGGGGGAAUAUUGCACAAUGGGCGGAAGCCUGAUGCAGCAACGCCGCGUGCGGGAUGACGGCCUUCGGGUUGUAAACCGCUUUCGCCUGUGACCAAGCGUGAGUGACGGUAAUGGGUAAAGAAGCACCGGCUAACUACGUG